GGAUGGAUCAUUAACACACACAUACACGUCAUUUUCUAGUUGAAAGUUAGACACGCAAGUGUUCUAGCUUUUCAAUUAGAAAAUACGCCCUAUAGAGAAUUUGUUAAAGUCCUUUAACAAAACAUAACAAACUACAUAACCGUUUUAUCUAAUUAAUAAAAGAAGAAGAAAAAACUGACGUGCCUAUGUGCACUGAAAUUUUUUUAUUCUUCCUUUAUAAACAUUAAUAUAAGACACAAUUUUUGACAAUGGAUAUCUUGGCUCGCUGGACGAUGAAGAACGCAGCGAAAUGCGAUACGUAAUGUGAAUUGCACAUGUCUGUGAAUCAUCAAAUCUUUGAACGCAAUUUGCGCCGCCAAAAGCGGCAUGCUUGUUUGAGUGAUGGUAAAAAUAACAAUCACCAUAAAACACAAGUGAAAAAUUACAAUAGCCUAUGUGCUUUGUAAGACUAGCUUGUAAUUUUGUAGGUGGCAUUGGGACUGUCUCGGGGAAUAACAUAUUCUUCGAGUCUCCUAAAAUAAGGGCAUUCAAUUCAAAUCUACUCUCAGAUUCUUAUCUGGAAGCCUCAUGGCACCUGAUAGAGUCUUGUUAGUGAGUAUGUUUCGAUGUCUACGCUCAACAACUCUUUCGAAGCAAUUAUUUGCAUUAGUAGAGUUUGUAGAGGAACCUCAUCAUAUGGAAUAUACUUACGUUGUCGAAAGACAAACAAACUCUUGAUAGCUUCAUAAGGAAAACAUCUUCCAGUUGGAUAUUUGUGAUAGAGAAUGCAUGAACACAUGAAGGUUAGUUGUUGUAAUUUCUAUGAUUAUAACAAACAACACAUCAUGUAAGGAUGUUGCUGUAAUAUAUUACUUUACAAUAAUAUACUACACACUCCUUCAAACUUAAACUUUAAAAAUCAUCCUCAAAUCAAGUAAGACUACUCCGAGAACUUAAGCAUAUUAUUACCGGAAGGAAAAGAAACUAACUAGGAUUCCCUUAGUAGCGGCGAGCGAAGCGGGAAGAGCUCAGGUUUUAAAUCUGGUAGCGACAGCUAUUCAGAAUUGUAGUCUUGUGAGUAUACAUCGGGAAAACCACCAGCAUAAGUCCUUUGGAACGAGGCGCCAUAGAGGGUGAGAGCCCCGUGCAUGGUUGGAUGGUCGUACCAACGUUGUGUGCUCUUAGAGUCGGGUUGUUUGGGAAUGCAGCCUUAAGUGGGUCGUAAAUUCGAUCUAAAGCUAAAUAUUACAGCGAGACCGAUAGCGAACAAGUAGCGUGAGCGAAAGAUGAAAAGAACUUUGAAAAGAGAGUUAAAAGUGCUUGAAAUUGUCAAAAAGGAAGCGUUUGGAACCAGUAUCGACGCGUGGCAGAAUCACGUUGAGCUAGUGGAUAAGCGCUGUCAGAGAGGUGCCGUUUCUGGUGUCAUCUGGCGGUGUGAGGCUAUUAGUAAGGCGGUACUUUUGUUACGUGUUGGUCAGCAUCGGUUGGAUUGAGUUGGCAGGAGAAAAGCUGGGGGAAGGUAGUUUGGCUGCGGCUGAAUGUUUAGACCCUGGCCUAUACUGUCCGUUCGACCGAGGGAGGAAUUCGAAAAGCGUGUGCCUCUAGGCUGGGCUCCUUGGUUGGUGUGUGUUACGACUGUGCGGGACUGUAACAGUGCCGUGUGGUCGUGGUGUGCACUCGGCUAAGAUCCACAUACACGCUCUAGAUGCUGACAAAAUGGUUUCAACCGACCCGUCUUGAAACACGGACCAAGGAGUCUAACAUAUGUGCGAGUAUUAAGGUGAGAAAAACCUUAGUGCGUAAUGAAAGUGAAGGCGGGCUCGGUCCGCUGUGGUGGGAUGCUGCCGGCUGAGGUAGUUGCACCAUCGACCGAUCUGGAUAUAUUUUUUUGAAAGAUUUGAGUAAGAGCACAUCUGUUGGGACCCGAAAGAGGGCGAACUAUGCCUGCAUAGGGUGAAGCCAGGGGAAACUCUGGUGGAGGCUCGUAGUGAUACUAACGUGCAAAUUGUUCAUCAAAUGUGGGUAUAGGGGCGAAAGACUAAUCGAGCUCUCUAGUAGCUGGUUCCCUC
This 2048-nucleotide unclassified non-coding RNA is filed under the name uncultured fungus. RNAcentral's name for it is "sequence contains 18S rRNA gene, ITS1, 5.8S rRNA gene, ITS2, 28S rRNA gene". The stretch from base 900 to 2048 matches the Rfam family "Eukaryotic large subunit ribosomal RNA", at positions 1 to 961 of the family's 3401-position model. Lineage: Eukaryota; Fungi. The record is from RNAcentral.